GCGGCCGGGGGGAGCGGGGCCGGGGCGGGGCCCGGCCCGGGGCCCGGUGCUCGAUGCCCGGGGCCCGGUGCUCGAUGCCCGGGGCCCGGUGCUCGAUGCCCGGGGCCCGGUGCUCGAUGCCCGGGGCCCGGUGCUCGAUGCCCGGGGCCCGGUGCUCGAUGCCCGGGGCCCGGUGCUCGAUGCCCGGGGCCCGGUGCUCGAUGCCCGGGGCCCGGUGCUCGAUGCCCGGGGCCCGGUGCUCGAUGCCCGGGGCCGCCCGGCCGUUGCGGGUCGGUGCGAGCAGUCCCAGGACUGCUGCAAAGGGCCGGCCCAGCCCGGCGGAAUUGCGGAGCGGGCGGUGCGGGACCCUUCCCGCGCCCGGCUCGGACCGCACGGGGCAGAGGCGCGGCGGGGCCGGACAUCCCUGCGGGCGCCCCGAUGGCCCCGCCGGAGGCCGGGAUCUGCCGGGAUCGGGUUAUGAACCUUUCUGCAGCAGGAUUUGAAUUAGCCAGAUUCCAGCUCAGAUCAAAGUCUCUAGGAUUCACUUGUGAUUUCCGGGGGUCAGCAAAUGUAUAAGACAGGUACACUCACCCUUCUGACUGACAACACUCCCAGAGAGUCACUCUCCAGCCCCGGGAGCACGGCUGUGGUGUGGGGUGAGUGAUGCAGAGGAGUCACUGGUUCUGGGUGUUGCUGGUAUCACAUGAACUCUGCCGUGGGGGAGGAAGGACCUGGGCUUUUGAUUUCUGAAAGAUAUUGCUCUGAUAAAUAAAGAAAAAAUUUAACUAUUGCAGGAAAGUGUGGGGAUUUGCUCUUUGGCAUUCUGGAUGAGAACUUCUGGUACUGAAGCCCUAGAGUCUGCGUUGGAAUGAGUAACAUGCGGAGAUCUGACACUUACGACAAACUCAGCCUGGAGUGGUUUAAGACGUGUUCGUGUAGGGAUUUUCUGGCAGUGCCGUGGGGUCAGAGCUGUGUUAUUGUGCCCUGUUACACGUCACAAGAACGGCCAAUGCCUUCCUUCAUGCUCACAAGACUUAAUGGGGUCAACUUUCACCUGGUUGGAGCCUGUCAAGGUCACCAAAUGGAGUCCAUUCUGCCAUUGGAAAAUUGUUCAUUUUCGUGGAUAGGUCAGAGUUAAUGUUGUGUGGCAGUGAGAGUGUGGUUCAGUGCGGGGUCAGUGAGGUGCUGACGGGCACUCCGGGGCUGCUGGCCAUGACCUUGGCACAGACUGCCUGGUGCCAAAGCACAGCUCUAAUAUCUCCUAUACUCUGCAGCAGUAUCAAGAAAUACAAAUAUACAGGACUUGGGCAAAUCCAAAAAUCCACAAAAUGCUUUUUGCUCUCUUUAACAGAGUCACAUCAAUGUUUCUUUAAUGUAAAAUUUCCAUAGGGCUUUGCUGGUUCCACAGUGAAGUGCAUUCCAAGCAGUAACUGCAAUAACAAGUAAAUAGAAUUAGAAGGCAUGGGGGCAGAGCUGGGCUCCUGCUCUCCUGCAGUAAAGGCACUGCUGGCUGUGGCUCUGGAGAUUGGCACUGAUGCACUUGCACUGCACAACCAUCACUUUCUCAAAUAGAUAUGUCACUUAUGUUUUCCUUAAUUAAAAUUUCAGCUAUUCCUGCCUCUUCACAUGUCUCUCUGCACAUAGUCUGACCGUGGUUGCUGCCAUGUUUGGAGCUGUGUGGUGGCUUUUGUCAGAACCCAGGAAUGCAGCCUCAGGAACAGAACCCUGCAGAGGCAAACUUGGCAGAACCUGGGCAGUGUCUGGAGCAGCAGUUAGGAAUCUGGGACUGGGAGCUGACCACACUGUUAUUGACUGGUCUUGCAUUCCCAGGAGGGCAAAUCAGGGCUUUGAUUGCCAGGUUUGCAGUUUAAAAAAAGCCUUUGCUUUAAUGAAUGUACAGCCUAAGUGUCAUUGUUCUCUUCUCCAUUCUGGGUUGUUUUCCAGAAAACAAGACCAGUUUAGGAAAUUUAAAUCUGUCCUAAAAAAGAAAUUUUAUCUAGAGAAGUCCCUCUGUGCUUCCAUUCUUAGAAUAAACCAAAUUUAUUUACUUCUGUAGUUGAAAUUGUAUUACUAAAGAACAUGAAUUUUCUUUAAUGUUGUUUGAUGGUUUUUGUCUGGUUUUGAAUGGAAGUUGAGACUAUGUGACCACCUUGUAGCUGUAACACUUGUUAGUUCAUUUAAAUUAAUAUUUUAGUUCCUUAUUUAUUAUCCCGAAGUUUAUUGGUUUGUUAGGAAUAAUACCCAAAUGUGUGAUGCUGAGAAGGGUAAAGCUGCAGCGUGGAAUCCUUGUCACAGGAGAAACGCACCAGGGGCAGCCACGGACGGGCAGGUUCCCCAGCACUCCAGUGGUCUGUCUGUGUGUCUAUUUGUGUGUCUCAUGAUUUUCAGGUUAUUUUUCAUAUCCUGAUGCAACUGAAAAGCCAGCCUUUUUUUUGAAAAGUGUAGAAUCUAAUGAGCAGUGUGUUUGAAAACCUCAGCCCUUCCCAGGACUCAGGUGAGUGAUACAAACAUGGCACAAGCAGGUGACACGUGGAGAUGGGCGUCUUGGAAAGAAAACAUCAAAGGAAUCACACAGUGAUCAGGGGUGGGCAAUUCACAGGGCCAGCGAGCUGGAGACUUGUGCAAAGCCACCCUGUUCUUCAUUUGGUGCCAGAGAGCUUCAGUUCAUGAAGAAAGUAGCUGGAAAAUUUACCCAGAAAUAGAUGACCUUUCAAAAGGCCUCUAAUAUACAAUUACCUGAUGUUCACUGAAGUGUUUCACAUGCUUCCCACCCUAAAUGAUUUUCUAGGUUCACCCAUGUGUGAAAAGGGGUCUGAUUUUAUGGAGGAGGGCAAUGGAGGAAAGAAACUCCAGAAAGGAGAGAAAUACGCCAGGGAAUUUUACUGGUUGUUUGCUUCAAGGGAAGGAAAGGGCAAAUAGAUGCAGCCACCUCAAAGUCACCUUUUGACUUUGAACUUUAAAAGAAAGGAACAUGGAAGAAUUCUGAGAUAUUGACAGCACUUGACAGAAGCUAUUCUAUGAAGAUAGGUAGGAAAUUUAGGAUCCAGUGGAAUUUGCUUUCUUAGCCAGAUGACAAGUUCUUUUUUCUUUUUUGCAGUACAACAAAAUUAUUACAACCCCUAUUUUCCUUACUGCCUUUUCUUUCCUUCUGCCCUGGGUCAUCUGGUACAAGAGAUCUUUUGCCUGCGUGGCCACCAGUGCUCAGACCAGGGGCUGGCCAUGUUCCCUCUGCAGAGUUUCAGCUCUGAUCCUGGACCAAAGGAAGCGAGUUAUCUGGGGCUGCAGUCUGGUGGGCUUUAGGCAAAAUACUUUCCUAAGAAAAUGAUUUCUAUGGCUGGCACAAAAGUGCUUCUCCUGUGCACCUUUCCAGUGGCAGCUGUGCCCAGGUGCACACAGCAGCCUUCAAUAGUUCAGUGUUCUCUUCACUGCCCCUGCUCUGAGCCACACGGGGAGAAGAGGGGCAGAGACCACCCCCACGUGGGAAAGCAGCAGCAUUCAAAAACCCAGAGACUUUUUGAAACCAGGGAAUGGGAUUUCCAUAUAUGAUGAGAGAGCACUCUGGGCAAUAGAAACUGUAUUUGUAUGGAAGAAAAUUAUUUUAAAUAAACUUGAAAUGUAAAGAUUUUCAUGAACAAAAGCAAGGUGACAGUCCCCUCCCCCAUCUGCAUUAUCUGACAAAACAAAGUCCUUGAGACAGGUCAGACAGCCAAGACCAUCAAUGUGGCAGUUGUAGCACUGAAAUACUUUUCAUUUGGUCAAGUAUCUAAGUAUCUUUGUGGGGAAAAAACACCAAAGUUUACCUUUGGAUCCAAAACAUUAGACUUGUGAUUCCACAGAAUUUUGUGACUUUGGAAAUGUUCUAUUGUUUUUCAGUAUGAGCUCAUGAACCUCGAAUAAAAUUGUCCUUUGGGGACAAAAGAAAAUAGAGGAAAAAUAAAUGCUCAUGUCAGGUCUGGAGACCAAGGGGUUCCUGAGCCAUGGUCUUUAUUAUGUUUCUUUUCCAUCAAGUUCAGGAGUGACUUUGAGCGGAUUUGCUGCAGUUGAGGGAGACAGAAAAAAAUCGUAUUAAAAAUAAAAAAAAAACUGAAUACGACUUUUCAAAAAUCCAUUUAUUUUCCUGUAUAAGACAUACAGAUCCAAAAGUGAAUGGUGAGUCAGGAGUGCACAUGGUUCCAGCAGCAGCUUUCAGGCUCUUCUGACUGUGGCUCUGCUGGAUGGCGGGUCAGCUUGAGCUCUCAGCAGCAGAAAUGUGGGAUGAUGCAGAGCUCCUCAGGCUCCUGCCUCCUCCUUUUGGAGGCCACACAGCAUGCACAUGUUGUGUUCCUGAAUUCAUGCCUCUUCUGGCAAUUUGUUUGCCUGAGCCUUUAAGCUUCUGUGUUCACCCCCAGGGCCCAGAGCUCUGCCAAGCUGCCAGCAGCAUGCUGAGACCAUGGGCAGGUGCCUCAGCUUCCCACAGGGACUGCGCCCACGCCCUGCCGGCUGAUCCCAAAGGAGCUGAGGAGCUGCCACGAGGGUGCCAGGAG
RNA transcript from Prinia subflava (tawny-flanked prinia), 4502 nucleotides. It is a transcript of the gene named TSC22 domain family member 2, with no coding region annotated. The transcript has 4 exons. NCBI's taxonomy places the organism in Eukaryota, Metazoa, Chordata, Aves, Passeriformes, Cisticolidae. The record is from RefSeq and is a predicted model, not a curated record.